GUUGGAUUAUAUAUAGCGGUGUAUUUUUAUCUCUCCUAUGAUAAUGUCUUUUUGCCAAAUCUUCUAAAAGUAUUUUUGUUUUCAUAAAUUUUAUGCUUUUAUUAAUCAGAUAUAAUUGUGACUACAUUACAUAAUAGUAAAUUAAUACCCUUUGUCAAACAUAUUGUGUAAACCUCAAUAAUUUAAUUUCUCUGAUAUCAAUAACAUCACUUUUUAUUGAAAUGAAUCAAUCUCUGUCCAUGCUUUUGUUUUAAACUUUGUAUUUAAUUAUAUUUCACAUGUGUCUCUUGUAAGACAAUUGGUAUUUGUUUAACUUGAAAAGUCAUAUUUGUAUAUUUGCUUUUCUUUAUGAAGUAUUAAGUUUAUUUUUUAUAUUAUCACGAUAUAUUUAGGAGAAGCAAGCUGUGAUGAAAUUGCAAGAUGUGGAUUCAACAGAAGCCUUUGUCAAUCCUAAAAUGUGAUCUGCAGCAAGAAUGGACCUUUAGUUCUGUUCUCAUUGAGACAAAGAGACCAGGCCUUUGUACCUUAAUAUGGACUAGUAGGUUAAAGGUGCUCUCAGGGAGGAGCUGUAGCACUGGACAAGGCAAAACACUUCAGUUCAAGCCAACUCCUCGAGAGAGACAUAGCUGUGAGCUGUCAGUAGCCAGCAACAUCUGGUAGCUGGAGGAAUGAGUGCCUGGGCUAUAAACGGAGGAUUUGGGUGCUAUACCAGAGCAGGCACUGCACCGCCAAACUGAUACAUUUCACAGAUCAGUAUUUUUUCUUUAAUUAUGAGACAUUAGUUUGCAAACAUUUUAUUGGACCAAAUAAAAAUGUUAAAAGACACACAUGGGGAGGUGGGGCCAAGUUGGCCAACUAGAAACAGUAGUGAUCAGAGACUCCCAUCGAAAAAUCCAAAACAGUGUGCAAAUCCUACAUUGGCAACCAAGUUAUCCAGAUUCUGUCAUUAGGGCUGACGAGGCAACAGGCUUGACUCAUGAGGAGGAAGGAAGAGCAGUGUGGUGCAGCAGCCCACCUGAGAGCCACAGGGGGCAAGAGAGCCCCCACCCCCAGCCAAGGGAGGUGGUGAGUGAGCACGCUAUGCAGCCUGGAAAACCAAGCUUUUCCAUAGAACUGUGCAACCCAUGGAUUGGAAGAACCCACUCAGGAGCCCAUGACACUGGGGCCCUGGGCCCAACCAUGGAGCCCCACA
This 1192-nucleotide long non-coding RNA is filed under the name Homo sapiens (human). RNAcentral's name for it is "non-protein coding lnc-TRHDE-4:1". The record is from RNAcentral. Lineage: Eukaryota; Metazoa; Chordata; Mammalia; Primates; Hominidae.